UACGGAGGGGGCUAGCGUUGUUCGGAAUUACUGGGCGUAAAGCGCGCGUAGGCGGACCUGCAAGUCGGGGGUGAAAGCCCGAGGCUCAACCUCGGAACUGCCUUCGAUACUGCGGGUCUCGAGUCCGGGAGAGGUGAGUGGAAUUCCUAGUGUAGAGGUGAAAUUCGUAGAUAUUAGGAAGAACACCAAUGGCGAAGGCGGCUCACUGGCCCGGUACUGACGCUGAGGCGCGAAAGCGUGGGGAGCAAACAGG
RNAcentral lists this ribosomal RNA (253 nucleotides) under uncultured bacterium. RNAcentral describes it as "partial 16S ribosomal RNA". It matches the Rfam family "Bacterial small subunit ribosomal RNA", at positions 524 to 776 of the family's 1533-position model. The record is from RNAcentral.